UACGCAGGUGGCAAGCGUUGUCCGGAAUUAUUGGGCGUAAAGCGCGCGCAGGCGGCCUCUUAAGUCUGAUGUGAAAGCCCCCGGCUCAACCGGGGAGGGCCAUUGGAAACUGGGAGGCUUGAGUAUAGGAGAGAAGAGUGGAAUUCCACGUGUAGCGGUGAAAUGCGUAGAGAUGUGGAGGAACACCAGUGGCGAAGGCGACUCUUUGGCCUAUAACUGACGCUGAGGCGCGAAAGCGUGGGGAGCAAACAGG
Molecule: ribosomal RNA, 253 nt
Filed under: uncultured bacterium
Lineage: Bacteria
Description: partial 16S ribosomal RNA
Rfam family: Bacterial small subunit ribosomal RNA
Source: RNAcentral